ACGGGUGAGUAACGCGUGGGAACGUGCCUUCUGGUUCGGAAUAACUCAGGGAAACUUGAGCUAAUACCGGAUACGCCCUUUUUGGGGAAAGGUUUACUGCCGGAAGAUCGGCCCGCGUCUGAUUAGCUAGUUGGUGGGGUAACGGCCUACCAAGGCGACGAUCAGUAGCUGGUCUGAGAGGAUGAUCAGCCACACUGGGACUGAGACACGGCCCAGACUCCUACGGGAGGCAGCAGUGGGGAAUAUUGGACAAUGGGCGCAAGCCUGAUCCAGCCAUGCCGCGUGAGUGAUGAAGGCCUUAGGGUUGUAAAGCUCUUUUAUCCGGGACGAUAAUGACGGUACCGGAGGAAUAAGCCCCGGCUAACUUCGUGCCAGCAGCCGCGGUAAUACGAAGGGGGCUAGCGUUGCUCGGAAUCACUGGGCGUAAAGGGCGCGUAGGCGGCCUUUUAAGUCGGGGGUGAAAGCCUGUGGCUCAACCACAGAAUUGCCUUCGAUACUGGGAGACUUGAGUUCGGAAGAGGUUGGUGGAACUGCGAGUGUAGAGGUGAAAUUCGUAGA
This 558-nucleotide ribosomal RNA is filed under the name uncultured bacterium. Its description in RNAcentral is "bacterial SSU rRNA". It matches the Rfam family "Bacterial small subunit ribosomal RNA", at positions 102 to 694 of the family's 1533-position model. The record is from RNAcentral.